RNAcentral lists this ribosomal RNA (253 nucleotides) under uncultured bacterium. Its description in RNAcentral is "partial 16S ribosomal RNA". It matches the Rfam family "Bacterial small subunit ribosomal RNA", at positions 524 to 776 of the family's 1533-position model. The record is from RNAcentral.
UACGGAGGGGGCUAGCGUUGUUCGGAAUUACUGGGCGUAAAGCGCGCUUAGUCGGACCUGCAAGUCGGGGGUGAAAGCCCGAGGCUCAACCUCGGAACUGCCUUCGAUACUGCGGGUCUCGAGUCCGGGAGAGGUGAGUGGAAUUCCUAGUGUAGAGGUGAAAUUCGUAGAUAUUAGGAAGAACACCAGUGGCGAAGGUGGAUCACGGGCCCGGUAAUGACGCUGAGGCGCGAAAGCGUGGGGAGCAGACAGG